UGUAAAUCCAAAUUUUUAUAG
This 21-nucleotide non-coding RNA is filed under the name Caenorhabditis elegans. The record is from RNAcentral. Lineage: Eukaryota; Metazoa; Nematoda; Chromadorea; Rhabditida; Rhabditidae.